This 95-nucleotide small nuclear RNA is filed under the name Panthera leo (lion). RNAcentral's name for it is "U2 spliceosomal RNA (ENSPLOG00000005822.1)". It matches the Rfam family "U2 spliceosomal RNA". Rfam says of the family: U2 is a small nuclear RNA (snRNA) component of the spliceosome (involved in pre-mRNA splicing). Complementary binding between U2 snRNA (in an area lying towards the 5' end but 3' to hairpin I) and the branchpoint sequence (BPS) of the intron results the bulging out of an unpaired adenosine, on the BPS, which initiates a nucleophilic attack at the intronic 5' splice site, thus starting the first of two transesterification reactions that mediate splicing. The record is from Rfam by way of RNAcentral. Lineage: Eukaryota; Metazoa; Chordata; Mammalia; Carnivora; Felidae. RNAcentral also lists the same sequence under 1 other name.
AUUGCUUCUUGGCCUUUUGGCUAAGAUCAAGUGUAGUAUCUGUUCUUAUCAAUUUAAGAUAUACAUCAAAAUACAUUUUAUAAUCUCUACCUUUU